AAGGACGUUUAUUUGGUGGAGUGGUGACAAGGCGUCAAAGAGCCAAAAGGCGGGUGGCCGGUCUGUGAAGCCUCCAUCAUCAAGCUAGCAGAAAGGGAAAAAACUUUGCAAACAAAACUUAAGGAAACUGAAGAACAACUACCCAAGCCAGAGGUGGUUAAGAGAAAAAGUAAACCUUCUAUGGUACUCCUUGAGGCCACAGAGGUGAGAGAUGAACCAGCAGCUAGGAAAAAGCAUCAAGACUGACGGAGUGUGUUUGAGAUAACCUCACAAGUGUCACGGAUGACACAUUUGGCGUUUGUUGGUAGCAGCUC
Oreochromis aureus is the source of this 314-nucleotide long non-coding RNA. The record is from Ensembl. Lineage: Eukaryota; Metazoa; Chordata; Actinopteri; Cichliformes; Cichlidae.